AGAAUCCCGUCUUUGACACGGACUCCCAGUACAUUGUGGUACGCUCUCGAAGAGUCGAGUUGUUUGGGAAUGCAGCUCAAAAUGGGUGGUAAAUUCCAUCUAAAGCUAAAUAUUGGGGAGAGACCGAUAGCGAACAAGUACCGUGAGGGAAAGAUGAAAAGAACUUUGGAAAAAGAGUUAAACAGUACGUGAAAUUGCUGAAAGGGAAACGCUUGAAGUCAGUCGCGUUGUGCAGGAUUCAGCCUGGCUUUUGCUUGGUGCACUUCCUGUACGACGGGUCAGCAUCAGUUUUGACCGGUGGAUAAGGGCAUAAGAAAUGUGGCAUCUUCGGAUGUGUUAUAGUCUUGUGUCGCAUACAUCGGUUGGGACUGAGGAACUCAGCACGCCGCAAGGUCAGGUUUUCUAACCAUGUUCGUGCUUAGGAUGCUGGCAUAAUGGCUUUAAUCGACCCGUCUUGAAACACGGACCAAGGAG
This 474-nucleotide ribosomal RNA is filed under the name Mycena subcaerulea. Its description in RNAcentral is "partial large subunit ribosomal RNA". It matches the Rfam family "Eukaryotic large subunit ribosomal RNA", at positions 215 to 673 of the family's 3401-position model. Lineage: Eukaryota; Fungi; Basidiomycota; Agaricomycetes; Agaricales; Mycenaceae. The record is from RNAcentral.